This is a non-coding RNA of Glycine max (soybean), 79 nucleotides long. NCBI's taxonomy places the organism in Eukaryota, Viridiplantae, Streptophyta, Magnoliopsida, Fabales, Fabaceae. The record is from Rfam.
UUUGGAAAAUGAUGACAAAGAUUGAAACAGAGGCGCUAGCGCUGCUGAAUUAUUAUUUGCACGUCAGUCUGAUCCCAAA